UCAAUGUCUCUUGUUACCCACAGCAGCAACAUUAUUACUAUGAAAUGGUCAUGAGCAGUGCUGCUAGGUAGCCACGAGUGUGAACACGGAGGUUGUGUUUAUCAUUGUCAAGGCUCAGCAGGUGGUGGUGGUGGUGGUGAAUCGGAAACGCAAGCUGAUGCACAGAGCCAGCAGCCGCACUGCUGUACAACACCAACCCAGCGCUGGGUGGAAGGCGGGAGAAGCCAUAUACAGCCUUUACCAUCCACCAGGGAGUGUCAAUGACUCUUGUACUUCCCAUACAGCAACAUUAUUUAUCAAUGGCAGUGAGCCUUGGCUGUGUAGCCCACACGUGGACAUACGGAGGUCGUGUUUAUCGUUGUCAAGGCUGAGCGGGCGAUGGUGGCGAUGGGCGGAAUGGGAGAAACGCAACCCCCUACUGCUGUUACAACCCAGUCCUGGACAGGAGAGGCCAGAGACGACCAACAGCGUCCAUCAGGGAGUGUCAAUGUCUCUCGCUACCCACAGCAGCAGCAUUCUUUAUUAUCAAUGGCAAUGAGCCGUGCUCUGUAGCCACGCGUGAGCAUCACGGAGGUUGUGUUUUAUUAUUGUCAAGGCUGAGCGGGUGGUGGUGGUGGUGAUGGGGGAAUCGGACACGCUGGCAUCCGUUCCUGCCACCCCCAACUUUGAGAAAGAUGGCUGGGCGAGUUCUCAACCCAGGUAACCGUGCGAGUCUCCGGCCCGAUCCUCGGCCUUGCUCAGCAAACGAGCGAUGUGGAUGUCUAUUUGAGGUUCGUUGACGUUUUGGUUUAUGUAAUUGGCCACGCGGGGAAAUGUCGGCAGGACUUUGAUAGUUUUAAUCGAGGCAAAACUUGAAACCUAAUUAGCAAAUAACCACAGCAUGAAGUUUACAUCAUGUGACCUGAA
Molecule: non-coding RNA, 906 nt
Organism: Petromyzon marinus (sea lamprey)
Lineage: Eukaryota; Metazoa; Chordata; Hyperoartia; Petromyzontiformes; Petromyzontidae
Source: RefSeq, a predicted model, not a curated record